UACGUAGGUGGCAAGCGUUGUCCGGAUUUAUUGGGUUUAAAGGGUGCGUAGGCGGCCCUGUAAGUCAGUGCUGAAAUAUCCCGGCUUAACCGGGAGGGUGGCAUUGAUACUGCGGGGCUAGAGUACAGAUGAGGUAGGCGGAAUUGACGGUGUAGCGGUGAAAUGCUUAGAUAUCGUCAAGAACACCUAUAGCGAAGGCAGCUUACUAGGCUGUAACUGACGCUGAGGCGCGAAAGUGUGGGGAUCAAACAGG
RNAcentral lists this ribosomal RNA (253 nucleotides) under uncultured bacterium. Its description in RNAcentral is "partial 16S ribosomal RNA". It matches the Rfam family "Bacterial small subunit ribosomal RNA", at positions 524 to 776 of the family's 1533-position model. The record is from RNAcentral.